RNAcentral lists this ribosomal RNA (467 nucleotides) under uncultured bacterium. Its description in RNAcentral is "partial 16S ribosomal RNA". It matches the Rfam family "Bacterial small subunit ribosomal RNA", at positions 28 to 507 of the family's 1533-position model. The record is from RNAcentral.
GAUGAACGCUGGCGGCGUGCUUAACACAUGCAAGUCGAACGGAAAGGCCCAAGCUUGCUUGGGUACUCGAGUGGCGAACGGGUGAGUAACACGUGGGUGAUCUGCCCUGCACUUCGGGAUAAGCCUGGGAAACUGGGUCUAAUACCGGAUAGGACCACUUCUUGGAUGUUGUGGUGGAAAGUUUUUUCGGUGUGGGAUGAGCUCGCGGCCUAUCAGCUUGUUGGUGGGGUAAUGGCCUACUAAGGCGUCGACGGGUAGCCGGCCUGAGAGGGUGUACGGCCACAUUGGGACUGAGAUACGGCCCAGACUCCUACGGGAGGCAGCAGUGGGGAAUACUGCACAAUGGGCGCAAGCCUGAUGCAGCGACGCCGCGUGGGGGAUGACGGCCUUCGGGUUGUAAACUCCUUUCGCUAGGGACGAAGCGUUUUGUGACGGUACCUGGAGAAGAAGCACCGGCUAACUACGUG